UACGGAGGGGGCUAGCGUUGUUCGGAAUUACUGGGCGUAAAGCGCACGUAGGCGGCUUUGUAAGUUAGAGGUGAAAGCCCAGGGCUUAACCCUGGAAUUGCCUUUAAGACUGCAUCGCUAGAAUCGUGGAGAGGUGAGUGGAAUUCCGAGUGUAGAGGUGAAAUUCGUAGAUAUUCGGAAGAACACCAGUGGCGAAGGCGACUCACUGGCCCGUUACUGACGCUGAUGCGCGAAAGCGUGGGGAGCAAACAGG
RNAcentral lists this ribosomal RNA (253 nucleotides) under uncultured bacterium. RNAcentral describes it as "partial 16S ribosomal RNA". It matches the Rfam family "Bacterial small subunit ribosomal RNA", at positions 524 to 776 of the family's 1533-position model. The record is from RNAcentral.